This 429-nucleotide ribosomal RNA is filed under the name Chloroflexota bacterium. RNAcentral describes it as "Chloroflexi bacterium partial 16S ribosomal RNA". It matches the Rfam family "Bacterial small subunit ribosomal RNA", at positions 355 to 776 of the family's 1533-position model. RNAcentral also lists the same sequence under 1 other name. Lineage: Bacteria; Bacillati; Chloroflexota. The record is from RNAcentral.
UAGCGAAUCUUCGGCAAUGGACGAAAGUCUGACCGAGCAACGCCGCGUGAGUGAAGAAGGUUUUCGGAUCGUAAAACUCUGUUGUUAGAGAAGAACAAGGACGUUAGUAACUGAACGUCCCCUGACGGUAUCUAACCAGAAAGCCACGGCUAACUACGUGCCAGCAGCCGCGGUAAUACGUAGGUGGCAAGCGUUGUCCGGAUUUAUUGGGCGUAAAGCGAGCGCAGGCGGUUUCUUAAGUCUGAUGUGAAAGCCCCCGGCUCAACCGGGGAGGGUCAUUGGAAACUGGGAGACUUGAGUGCAGAAGAGGAGAGUGGAAUUCCAUGUGUAGCGGUGAAAUGCGUAGAUAUAUGGAGGAACACCAGUGGCGAAGGCGGCUCUCUGGUCUGUAACUGACGCUGAGGCUCGAAAGCGUGGGGAGCAAACAGG